RNAcentral lists this ribosomal RNA (496 nucleotides) under Bacillus pumilus. Its description in RNAcentral is "bacterial SSU rRNA". It matches the Rfam family "Bacterial small subunit ribosomal RNA", at positions 1040 to 1533 of the family's 1533-position model. The record is from RNAcentral. Lineage: Bacteria; Bacillati; Bacillota; Bacilli; Caryophanales; Bacillaceae.
GGUGCAUGGUUGUCGUCAGCUCGUGUCGUGAGAUGUUGGGUUAAGUCCCGCAACGAGCGCAACCCUUGAUCUUAGUUGCCAGCAUUUAGUUGGGCACUCUAAGGUGACUGCCGGUGACAAACCGGAGGAAGGUGGGGAUGACGUCAAAUCAUCAUGCCCCUUAUGACCUGGGCUACACACGUGCUACAAUGGACAGAACAAAGGGCUGCGAGACCGCAAGGUUUAGCCAAUCCCAUAAAUCUGUUCUCAGUUCGGAUCGCAGUCUGCAACUCGACUGCGUGAAGCUGGAAUCGCUAGUAAUCGCGGAUCAGCAUGCCGCGGUGAAUACGUUCCCGGGCCUUGUACACACCGCCCGUCACACCACGAGAGUUUGUAACACCCGAAGUCGGUGAGGUAACCUUUAUGGAGCCAGCCGCCGAAGGUGGGACAGAUGAUUGGGGUGAAGUCGUAACAAGGUAGCCGUAUCGGAAGGUGCGGCUGGAUCACCUCCUUUCUA